CAAAGCAAUCCUUGGAUAUGUUGUUGGAGUUCGGAGAAUAGGAAAAGCACCAGGGGAUAGAAAUAUCUACACAGUAGUAGUACAGCGUGUCUUUAAGAGAACCAGAUAUCUAAAGUAUGUGAUUCGAAUAGAAUCCAAUGUCUCCAGUGCUGCUUGUGGUGUUAAUUUACAAGUGGGAAAAACUUACGUCAUUUCCGGUAGUGCAAAUAAGUACAGAUUUUCAACCAACUCUUGCCAGUUCAUCCGUGAAUGGAGAAGAAUCCCUCUGUCACAAAGGAAAGGACUAUUCUGUAGAAAAAGAUACCUGUUUCAGAAGAAAAGCAGCUGGCAUAAUGGUCAAUAUAGACCUUGGUGGAAUAGAACAUAAUUUAUUGAAUUUG
Molecule: long non-coding RNA, 380 nt
Organism: Saccostrea echinata
Lineage: Eukaryota; Metazoa; Mollusca; Bivalvia; Ostreida; Ostreidae
Exons: 4
Source: RefSeq, a predicted model, not a curated record